This 503-nucleotide ribosomal RNA is filed under the name uncultured bacterium. RNAcentral's name for it is "partial 16S ribosomal RNA". It matches the Rfam family "Bacterial small subunit ribosomal RNA", at positions 30 to 523 of the family's 1533-position model. The record is from RNAcentral.
AUUGAACGCUGGCGGCAGGCUUAACACAUGCAAGUCGAGCGGGGUGAUGGUGCUCGCACUAUCACUUAGCGGCGGACGGGUGAGUAAUGCUUAGGAAUCUGCCUAUUAGUGGGGGACAACAUCUCGAAAGGGAUGCUAAUACCGCAUACGUCCUACGGGAGAAAGCAGGGGAUCACUUGUGACCUUGCGCUAAUAGAUGAGCCUAAGUCGGAUUAGCUAGUUGGUGGGGUAAAGGCCUACCAAGGCGACGAUCUGUAGCGGGUCUGAGAGGAUGAUCCGCCGCACUGGGACUGAGACACGGCCCAGACUCCUACGGGAGGCUGCAGUGGGGAAUAUUGGACAAUGGGGGGAACCCUGAUCCAGCCAUGCCGCGUGUGUGAAGAAGGCCUUAUGGUUGUAAAGCACUUUAAGCGAGGAGGAGGCUCUUUUGGUUAAUACCCAAGAUGAGUGGACGUUACUCGCAGAAUAAGCACCGGCUAACUCUGUGCCAGCCGCCGCGGUAA